CACGGGGGGAGCAAGCGUUGUUCGGAAUCACUGGGCGUAAAGGGCGUGUAGGCGGUCAAGUAAGUGGAAUGUGAAAGCCCCCGGCUUACCCGGGGAUCUGCAUCCCAAACUGCUUGGCUUGAGUACGGGAGAGGAUAGGGGAAUUCCUGGUGUAGCGGUGAAAUGCGUAGAUAUCUGGAGGAAUACCGGUGGCGAAGGCGGCAUCCUGGACCGACAUUGACGCUGAGGAGCGAAAGCUAGGGGAGCAAACGGG
Molecule: ribosomal RNA, 253 nt
Filed under: uncultured bacterium
Lineage: Bacteria
Description: partial 16S ribosomal RNA
Rfam family: Bacterial small subunit ribosomal RNA
Source: RNAcentral